UAAGUUGUUAUCGAACUUUUCAACACAGUGUUUUCCGUUUUGGUGUGUUAACGCAUUGACAAGAGUGCCGGUCGUUCCAGCAUUUAGGGUUAGAAUUGAUCGAGGGAGUUACAGCAUCGUAUUGCAGCAAGCCCAACCAGUCCGGACGUACAGACUAACAGACAGGAGUUACAGCCGAAUCCUGAACAAUGAAUCUAACAGUUUUCUUCACUUCACUUGUGCUAUGCUCUCUUGUUCUGUUCGGCGUGACCGCCGCCAAAGGACGUGGUGGACGAUGUGGUCGUAAAGGAUGACGUGUGAAUGAAAUCUCUAAUACUCUGACGCAUUCCAACUGUUGUCAUGAGCUGAUGAAAUAGCUACUGUUGUCAUGGGGACGUGACGUAAUGUAUUUGAAACCUUUUGAAUGUCCUGUACUGGUUGGAUGUGUCAGAGAAUCAAAAUAAAGAAUUAUAUAGCA
Gigantopelta aegis is the source of this 457-nucleotide long non-coding RNA. RefSeq lists it as uncharacterized. The record is from RefSeq and is a predicted model, not a curated record. The transcript is spliced from 4 exons. NCBI's taxonomy places the organism in Eukaryota, Metazoa, Mollusca, Gastropoda, Neomphalida, Peltospiridae.